AUGGUUCUCUGUGGGUCGCUGUGGGUCGCUAUGGGGCACAGUGGGUCUCUAUGGUUCUCUAUGGGUCCCUAUUGGGUCUCUGUGGGUCUCUAUGGGUCUCUAUGGGAUCUCUAUGGGUCUCCAUGGGUCUCAGUGGGUCACUAUGGGUCUCUAUGGGUCCCUAUGGGUCUCUUUGGGAUCUCUGUGGGUCUCUAUGGGUCUCUAUGGGUCUCUAUGGGUCGCUAUGGGUCUCUAUGUGUCUCUAUGGUUCCCUAUGGGUCUCUAUGGGUCGCUAUGGGUCUCUAUGGGUUUGUAUGGGUCCCAAUGGGUCUCUACAGGUCUCUAUGGGUCUCAGUGGGUCUCUAUGGGUCGCUGUGGGUCGCUAUGGGUCUCUAUGGGGUCUCUGUGGUUCUCUAUGGGGCACUGUGGGAUUCUAUGGUUCUCUAUGGGUCUCUAUGGGUCUCUGUGGGUCCCUAUGGGUCCUUAUGGUUCCCUAUGGGUCUCUAUGGGUCUCUAUGGUGCACUAUGGGAUCUCUAUGGGUCGCUGUGGGUUGCCGUGGGUCUCUGUGGGGCCCUCUGAGUCUCUGUGGGUCACUAUGGGUCACAAUGGGUCUCUAUGAGGACCUAUGGGUCUCUAUGGGUCCCUAUGGGUCUCUAUGUGGUCUCUGUGGUUCUCUAUGGGGCACUAUGGGAUUCUAUGGGUCUCUAUGUGUCUCUAUGGGUUGCUGUGGGUCACUAUGGGGCACAGUGCGUCUCUGUGGGUCUCUGUGGGGUUUCUAUGAGUCUCUAUGGGUCUCUAUGGGUCGCUGUGGUUCUCUAUGGGGCACUAUGGGUCUCUAUGGGUUCUCCAUGGGUCCCUAUGGGUCUCUAUGGUUCCCUAUGGGUCGCUAUGGGUCUCUAUGGGUCUCUAUGGGAUCUCUAUGGGUCUCCAUGGGUCUCAGUGGGUCACUAUGGGUCGCUGUGGGUCUCUAUGGGUCCCUAUGGGUCUCUGUGGGUCUCCAUGGGUCUCUGUGGGUCACUAUGGGUCCCUAUGGGUCUCUUUGGGAUCUCUGUGGGUCUCUAUGGGUCUCUAUGGGUCUCUAUGGGUCGCUAUGGGUCUCUAUGGGUCGCUGUGGGUCUCAGUGGGUCUCAGUGGGUCGCUGUGGGUCUCUAUGGGUCACUGUGGGUCUCUAUAGUUCCCUAUGGGUCGCUAUGGGUCUCUGUGGUUCUCUAUGGGAUCUCUGUGGGUCUCUAUGGGUCUCCAUGGGUCUCUGUGGUUCUCUAUGGGGCACUAUGGGAUUCUAUGGUUCUCUAUGUGUCUCUAUGGGUCUCUAUGGGUCGCUAUGGGUCCCUAUGGUUCUCUAUGGGAUCUCUGUGGGUCUCUAUGGGUCCCUAUGGGUCUCUAUGGCUCCCUAUGGGUCGCUAUGGGUCUCUAUGGGUCUCUAUGGUUCUCUAUGGGUCUCUAUGGGUCGCUGUGGGUCGCAGUGGGUCGCUGUGGGUCGCUGUGGGUCGCUAUGGGGCACAGUGGGUCUCUAUGGUUCUCUAUGGGUCCCUAUGGGUCUCUGUGGGUCUCUUUGGGUCCCUAUGGAUCUCUUUAGGAUCUCUGUGGGUCGCUGUGGGUCACUGUGGUUCUCUAUGGGGCACUAUGUGUUUCUAUGGGUCUCUAUGGGUCCCUAUGGUUCUCUAUGGGAUCUCUGUGGGUCUCUGUGGGUCACUAUGGGUCGCUGUGGGUCUCUAUGGGUCCCUAUGGGUCACUAUGGUUCCCUAUGGGUCGCUAUGUGUCUCUAUGGGUCCCUAUGGAUCUCUAUGGGUCUCAAUGGGUCGCUGUGGGUCCCUAUGGGGCAAUAUGGAUCUCUAUGUGUCUCUAUGGGUCUCUAUGGGUCUCUAUGGGUCUCAGUGGGUCACUGUGGGUCUCAGUGGGUCGCUGUGGUUCUCUAUGGGUUGCUGUGGGUCGCAGUGGGUCGCUAUGGGUCUCUAUGGGUCGCUAUGGGUCCCUAUGGGUCUCUUUGGGAUCUCUGUGGGUCUCUAUGGGUCGCUAUGGGUCUCUAUGGUUCCCUAUGGGUCGCUAUGGGUUGCUAUGGGUCUCUGUGGUUCUCUAUGGGUCCCUAUGGUUCUCUAUGGGAUCUCUGUGGGUCUCUGUGGGUCACUAUGGGUCUCUGUGGGUCUCUAUGGGUCUCUAUGGAAUCUCUAUGGGUCACUAUGGAUCUCUAUGGCUCCCUAUGGGUCGCUAUGGGUCACUGUGGGUCUCUAUGGUUCCCUAUGGGUCGCUAUGGGUCCCUAUAGGUCUCUAUGGGUCUCUGUGGUUCUCUAUGGGGCACUAUGGGUUUCCGUGGGUCUCUAUGGGUCUCUAUGGUUCUCUAUGGGUCUCAGUGGGUCUCAGUGGGUCUCAGUGGGUCUCAGUGGGUCGCAGUGGGUCGCAGUGGGUCGUGGUGGGGCCCGGCGCUGACGCGGCGCUGACGCGGUUUCCUGCAGGUCGCCAUUGCGGCGCCGCCGCCAUCGCCCCACG
This 2464-nucleotide long non-coding RNA is filed under the name Numida meleagris (helmeted guineafowl). Its description in RNAcentral is "lncRNA (ENSNMEG00000006320.1)". The record is from RNAcentral. Lineage: Eukaryota; Metazoa; Chordata; Aves; Galliformes; Numididae.